GGGCGGGUGGCGGAACGGUAGACGCAGAGGACUUAAACUCCUCCGGGCUGAGCGCCCAUGGGGGUUCAACUCCCUCCCCGCCCACCA
This 87-nucleotide transfer RNA is filed under the name bacterium. RNAcentral's name for it is "tRNA-Leu". It matches the Rfam family "tRNA". From Rfam's summary of the family: Transfer RNA (tRNA) molecules are approximately 80 nucleotides in length. Their secondary structure includes four short double-helical elements and three loops (D, anti-codon, and T loops). The record is from RNAcentral.